Long non-coding RNA from Herpailurus yagouaroundi (jaguarundi), 1546 nucleotides. RefSeq lists it as uncharacterized. The record is from RefSeq and is a predicted model, not a curated record. The transcript has 2 exons. Lineage: Eukaryota; Metazoa; Chordata; Mammalia; Carnivora; Felidae.
CCCGCCCCGCCCGCAGGCGUCACGUAGCCGCUUUCCCAGGGGCGAAGGUGGGGGCAGGCUCGGCCGCCUGGCCCUGCGCCCGGACUACCCCGCCCGGUGGCGAGACCUCCACCUAUCCUGCCGAGGCUAGGAGACGACGUAACGGAACAGUUGGAACAGGACCGCUUGCUGGCCUCACUCGUGGCCCUGCAACAUGUACAAAAGGAAAUAACCAGGGCCUUCGCUCAUCCUCCUGUUCUUCUCCACCCCUUUCAACCAGGAGACUUGGUCUGGGUCAAGGGGCACGAGCCUAAAACCCUGGAGCCGCGCCGGAAAGGACCGCACGCACACCGUGAUCCUGACCACGUCCACGGCCGUGAAGGUGGAUGGUGUCCAAACCUAGAUUCAUCACUCUCAGGUUAAGAAAAACUGUGUGAAGGCGGGAACACCCCAGACUGAUAGGGAAGCAGAGAACGAACAGCAAUGGAAGGUCCCGAGGCACCCAGAGGAUCCUUUGAAGCUAAGACUGAUGCAGGCAUAAUAAUAAUAAUGAUUGUCUGGGUUUGUAUAAUGGUAAGCGGGGGGGUUGUAUGGAAUUACCUCCCCUGUCUUUUUGGCCAUGCCAAUGGGAACUCAGGGACACUGUCACGGGGAAGGUGAUAGCAUCUAAUACCUCUUCCACUGUGCCUUGUUUUUUGUUUGAUUUAUGCGACUUGGUGGGGGACUCAUGGGGGACUUUAGUUACUAAUUAUAAACAGCCAACGGGCUUCGCUGCUCCGGUCCCCGAAAACCCCUGUAUGGUUACCUAUGGAUGUGGACACAGGGAUCAAGAACAAAAAUUGGCCGACAUACCGGGGUUAUACAGUUGCCCUGCAAAUGGAAAGGUCGGAUGUGAAGGAAAAGGCCAGCGAUAAUUGGCAUCAGAGUUUAUUUUAUUUUCUUGGUCCCUCUGGCUCACGUCACUGCUCACCCCUAUAGCUGGGCCACUGCUAUUGUUACUUCUCGGGUUAACUGUCGGCCCGCACAUUAUCAAUUGGUUAGUAUGUCAAGAGGCGAGUUGGUGAAAUAAAAAUUAUGAUGAUGAGGUCCAACUACGUCCCCUUAGUUCCUAGUGAGGAAUCAAGGGAUUGAUUCACUGACAAGAAAAGGGGGAAAUGUAAGGGUUGAAUUGUAGCUAACGUGUAGCUUAAAAGAUAACAGCUUUGUUCUGACACUUAGCAAGAUAACAGCCUUGCUUUACCCUUGUAAAUUACGCUCUGUACUGUAAAUCAGGCUUCACCAAUGAAGGAAACAAAAGCUCAAAGAAAAGAGCAUCAGAGUCAGGGUCAAGGAGAUCCACUGGUUGCAACUUAGGGGCAGAAAGUCUAAAAGAAUCCCCUCAUCCGGCAACUGUUUCUAACUCAUCUGGGAACUCUUUCUCCGUUCUGUUCCCAGGUGAUGAUAAAACGAUGUGAUCGGCCUUAAAAACCCUGGACCCCGGCUGUUCGAGGCCGCACUCUGAUCAAGAGUGGUGGUCCCAAUCGGUCUGCCUUGCCUCUCAUUGCAGUACACUUUGUUGUGACUGUCA